This is a non-coding RNA of Armillaria nabsnona, 91 nucleotides long. The record is from the annotation of a GenBank genome assembly. NCBI's taxonomy places the organism in Eukaryota, Fungi, Basidiomycota, Agaricomycetes, Agaricales, Physalacriaceae.
GGCGCUAUAGCCAAGUGGUUACGGCGAUAGAUUCGAAUGCGUGUUCAUCUAUUACUCUCUGAGUGCGCAGGUUCAAAUCCUGCUGGUGUCG